This 349-nucleotide unclassified non-coding RNA is filed under the name uncultured fungus. RNAcentral describes it as "partial contains 5.8S ribosomal RNA and internal transcribed spacer 2". The stretch from base 1 to 133 matches the Rfam family "5.8S ribosomal RNA", at positions 22 to 154 of the family's 154-position model. Lineage: Eukaryota; Fungi. The record is from RNAcentral.
UGGCUCUCGCAUCGAUGAAGAACGCAGCGAAAUGCGAUAAGUAAUGUGAAUUGCAGAAUUCAGUGAAUCAUCGAAUCUUUGAACGCACCUUGCGCCUCUUGGUAUUCCGAGAGGCAUGCCUGUUUGAGUGUCAUUAAUCUAUCAAAUCCGAAAGGUUUUGGAAUGUGGGGGUCUGCAGGUCUUUCACGGAUCUGCUCCUCUUGAAAUGCAUUAGCGGCGAUACCCUUGAAUGUAGCCCAGCGUGAUAAUUAUCAUCGUUGCAUGCUCAAUCAUUAUGGCGUCUGCUCACAACCGUCGAAAAGACAACACUUGACGAUUUGACCUCAAAUCAGGUAGGACUACCCGCUGA